Long non-coding RNA from Entelurus aequoreus (snake pipefish), 1140 nucleotides. RefSeq lists it as uncharacterized. The transcript is spliced from 3 exons. Lineage: Eukaryota; Metazoa; Chordata; Actinopteri; Syngnathiformes; Syngnathidae. The record is from RefSeq and is a predicted model, not a curated record.
AUUUCAACCACUAGAGUUAGUCUCCUAUCUGUCACGUAGUCAAGAUGGCGAUGAUGGAAGGCGUUUGUGGGUCAUCAGAAGUGGUGAAACAUUGAGGCCUGUGGGUGUGCUGCUGCUGCUACGAGGUGAAGGUCCCAGCAGGCCUCCGCUGCCCAGCAGGCCCAGCCUUACACCUGGUAAGCUCCGAGAGGGCACCUGGAAUUGCCGAAGGCUUCUUCUGGCCAUCACACUGCUCCCAACACAGCUUGUGGUGGGAAGAGAGUUGGACUGACCGAAUCCACGACUGCUGCAGAACAGAAUAUGUGUAGUUAGUACGGCUGUGACGGUACUGUAGAUACCGUGUUAUUGCCAUUUCAAAGUCUUCACAAUAAUGCUGUGGCGGUAUCAAACAAAAACUUGGUGUGUAGCUUUUCUCUGACGCUCUAGUGUUGUCUGGGUCUGAAAAUAAACUACAUCUCCAAGAAUCCUCUGUUUUCUUACGGUUUUCACUCAGGGCCGUCACCAGGAUUUGACAAAUACUGAGGUCAAAAAUUGGUGCUUUGAAAGGCUGAAAUCAUGUGUAUUCCAGCACCAUAUGAAUAUUACCUUGAGCAACAUAUUUAACAAUCCACUUUUUUACAUUAUUAUACUGAAGUUUAGCGUAUUAAGCUAUUUUAACGUCAUAAAACUUUACAUACGACACGGGUUUGAACCCAAGACCUUGUGCUUUGCAUUUCAAGUAUGAGUGACACGCGCCAUGAGAUGCACUGGAUGUUAAAAGGCGAAUUGUGUCUUCAUAUUCUAAUCAGUAACAGAGCAUGAUGUGGCCAGGAAUAUGUUUGGGGUCAAAUUUCAUAUGAGGCGCCUUGUCAUUGAAUAAUUUACAUUUCAAAACGCUUCUUCACACAAAACGGGGCCCUUACGAACAGCAAAGCCCUACGCACAGCGUGUGUUCUGUGAUUAGGGCGGGGCGGCACCUGACAACAGUAUUAUACCGACAGCGUUUGACAUGAAUCUCAUUCGGGUGAAAGCAACAUUAGUGACGUCAGUAUACUUCAAUGUUAAUGUUACGUUGAAAGGACAUUUUGAAUCAGAUUAUGUUUAAAGUAAAAGUGGACUUAAUAGCGUUGCAUUGUCUGGAGUUGGAGCAGGCUGUGCAUG